Limulus polyphemus (Atlantic horseshoe crab) is the source of this 448-nucleotide long non-coding RNA. RefSeq lists it as uncharacterized. The record is from RefSeq and is a predicted model, not a curated record. The transcript is spliced from 3 exons. Lineage: Eukaryota; Metazoa; Arthropoda; Merostomata; Xiphosura; Limulidae.
UGUGUAGUAGUAGAUGAGAUUUGAGACACUAAGGUGUAUAGUAGUACAUGAAAUGUGUGAAACUAUGGUGUAUAGUAGUGGAUGAAAUGUGUGACAUUGAGGUGUAUAGUAGUAGAUGAAAUGUGUGACACUAAGGUGUAUAGUAGUAGGUGAAAUGUGUGACACUAAGGUAUGUAGUAGUAGAUGAAAUGUGUGACACUAAGGUGUAUAGUAGUAGAUGAAAUGUGUGACACUAAGGUGUAUAGUAGUAGAUGAAAUGUGACACUAAGGUGUAUAGUAGUAAAUGAAAUGUGUGACACUAAGGUAUGUAGUAGUAGAUGUGUGACACUAAAGUGUAUAGUAGUAGAUGAAAUGUGUGACACUAAGGUGUAUAGUAGUAAAUGAAAUGUGUGACACUAAGGUGUAUAGUAGUAGAUGAAAUGUGUGACACUGAGGUGUAUAGUAGUAG